GUUCCAGAAGUGCCAUUUGCCUUCUCGGUUCAUAUCCAACACCCAGCUAAAGUGAUCAUUCCCGAUUUAGGGCGUAUCAUUAAGUUUGCCAUUUAAAGAUUUGAUUCGGAAUGUCAACAUCUGAGGAAGAAGUAUGAUAUUGAGAAGACUAAGCAGGAGAAGAAUGAGGUACAUGAUGAUUGUUUGCAUCAGAAGGUUGAAAAACAGAAGGAUCAUUAGUGUCAACAUGAACAUGAGACGAGUCAGUACCAAGAUCAAAGAAAACCGGAAAAGGAGAAUCAUUUAGCACCGGAAGAGGUAAAAGUUGUUGACCAAAGAUGUCAUUACCUAAAGAAUGAGAGAGAUUUCCUGAAAAAAGAAAGCUUGUCUUAUGGAAAAUAACAUUCCGGGAAAUAUAAAUAUGAUUAGUAUGAAGAUCAAGGACCUUGUAUCCUUUCUUUUGUAUCCUUGAGGAUAGCCAAGAAAUAUACAUGGUGAAGCUCGUGGGGAGAAUAUAUGAAGGUCUUUUAACAACAUAAAGGUGAACCACAGACAACCAAAAAUCCAAAGAAGAUUGUAAUUAGGAACAGUGGAAGUUAAUAGUUCAUACGAAGACUUUUGUGAAGAAGAGGAGUAUGAGUUCUGUUAAUGAGAUAAAUGGCUGCUUGAAUGCAACCACCCCAAUACUUAAUUGGUAUGUUAGAUUGAAAAAGAAAAGAUCGAGAUACAUACACAAUGUGUUGAUGCUUCCUCUCAACAACAAAAUUCUGUUGACGAGUAUAGGCACAAGAAAAGUAAUGUAUGAUAUCACUCAUAUCAUCCCAAGGAGUGACUCUUACUCUCUCAAAUAAGAGGUUCAGUCGUAGUACUUAGGGAUCGAAUCCACAAGAAGCUAGGCCACACAAUAGAUCUAAAUCAGUUUAUGAUUAAGCUAGGAAAACAUAGUAAAUCAAUAAACAGCAGAGGCGAACAAGGUAGUUGUUCAUUUGAUUGAUUGAUUGAGGUUGUAAACAGUUAUGAGAAAACAACUAGAUCUAGGGUUUCAGGUAAUCAUGAUUAUAAUGAUAUGGAAUGCUUAGGUUGUCAAUCCUAGAACUUGAAUGAUUAUAAUGAUAUGGAAUGCUCAGGUAAUCAUGAUUAUAAUGAUAUGGAAUGCUCAGGUAAUCAGGUAACUUUCCAAUCGCUUCUCCAAUUCAAAAGCUCAUAAAUUGAAUAUAAUCAGCGCAGGAAUUUGGUUUCACAAAAUACUCUAAUUGGUUGAGUGUAGUUACCCACUAUGGAUGUUGAUGUUAGAUUUACUCGGAGAACAAAGGAUAUGUGAUCUGUAGUUUUAACUAAUUCUAAAUCUUGCCUGAGAAAAGUGAAUCUGAAUCUCUCUAAAUUAGAGGUUAUAUGAUUUUUCUAAUGAGCUGCAUUUUUGAUAAUUCGUAUUCAUAUGAUUCAACUGCUUUAAUCAACAAUUUUGGUAUGUAAUGCAUAUUAAAUAGAGUUGUGUCCAAGCUUUUCCAUUGUAGGGAGAUAUACAAAGCUUCUGGUAACGAAGAUUAAAAAUGAUGAGUGAGAGGACCUUAAGCUCUUGGAAACUGGUGGUGCUACUCCUGCUUUAUCUGCAAGAAAGGUAAGUGCUAACCAUAGCAUUUUCAUGUUCAGUGUUUUAUGCAAUUUUCACUGUGUCUCGAUUAUUUGCAGCCAUCAUGGGUAAUGGGUUACAUACGAAGAAUUUGGCAUGGGCUUCACUGAAAUAAAGGCUCCGCCAGUACAUACUACUUUACAAAAUGUCUUGGCAGGUGGUGUCUUCCCAGUUGAAGCAAAUGGGGAUAGAUCUACUGUUAACCUGCAGCCUGAGUCUUGCGGCAAGAACCUGUGACAAAAACUAAACCACCAGAUGAAAGAAUGAUUAAUAUUCCUUCAAAAUCUGAUCAAGGAUAUCCAUAAUCAAAGCGAAGCAGUCCAUCAGAUGGUCAACCAUCCAUGUCUACGAAACCAAUGGAUCAAAAGAAAGCAAGAUGAAUCACCCAAAAUAUCUGAUGAGAACUCUAACAAAGCUGGCUCCAAGAAUUCCGAAACCGAGGUAUCACUGUAUCAGUGUGUUUUUCUCUUUUAUUUGUUUACAUUAGCAACCCCUUUACUUAUGAACUCCAAAGUUGUCAUUAAGCCUUAACAGAAAUUACUUAGGAAAAUUAACCCAUUGUACUUUCUUGACAAUCUCAUGAUUAAAAGACUGUUUUUGAGAAAGUGAUGAAUAGAUAGUUUGUAUUUGGGAUUACAGUAUAGAUGUAUGGACUGUGUAUAACCUAUCCGUUUACGUAGGCUCUAGGUUGUGAGUUAGAGCGCUAAGGUCGUGAUUUAGUCCCAUAAUAGGAAAAAAAUAUAUAUUCUCUGCCUUCACUCGAACGGUUCGAGUCGAACCUAUCCCCACCCUUUUUAAUUUUCGAAGUUGCUCGGUAAUCAUUUUCAGCUUAUCAACAUUUCAUGUAGAUUUUGAACCUCAACUCUAUAUCAUGUAUAAUUUAUAUUUGGUUGGCAGGUGAUUAAAGCCUUCUUCCAAACGAGGUGCAUCGCUUGCGUCGAUGAAGAAAUCAAUAAAACAAGAUUUUUUAGAAGACGAUGGAAAGUCCGGUAAAGCUGUUGGAACAUCCACACCUGACAAAGGUGUUAUAUAUUUGGAGAGGAGGCAGGCAUUUUUGGCUUUGACCAAAGCUUCUCCCGACAUAUCAGCCAAUUGUAGCUUAGCUACUGGUUCGUCCAAAGUUUUGGUGUUAAGCACAAAAUCAUUAGACGUUCAUAGAGUCUAAUGAGAGCUCAAUGGACCUUUUAGGAAUUCUAACUUUUAAUCUUUCGUGCAUUCAAAGAUGGUGUUGUAGUUUUAUUAAAUUCACUUUCUUCGAAAUGAAGAAAAUAUGAAGUAAUAUUUACUUUAAUAGUUUAUUUUAUUUUCUUUUGUAAAAUAAUAUUCUAAAUAUGUUAUAUCUCUAAUUAAUUAUUAAUAACACCUUUCACUAUUUUAUGCUCACUCAUGUUACUAAAUUGUUUUAUUUUAACGAUAAUCUAACAUAAUUAUCAUUUAAUAUAAAUGAAAUAUUAUCAUACAAUAAAUUGAUUAUAUAACAUGAAUAAACAAACAUAUAGUUUCAUAUUUAAAAAAAAAAUCAAUAUGUAUAUAUUUCUUCUAUAAGUGAUUAACAAAAGUGUUUUGAAAUAAAAUAUUAACUUAUUUAUCUUUGAUUAUUCUUAAAUAGGGUAAGAAUUCUUAAAAAUGAAUAUUCUCAUAUUCUUCGAUAUACAUAACUAAAUAGAUAAAAGUCGAAACUUUGAAAUUAAUUGGAUAAUAUUAACGUAUACAAUAUAUUUUACAAAAUAUACAAAAUAAGUAAAAAGUUCAUCUUCAAAAAUGAAAAUGUGAAUAGUAUAUCUUCAAAUGUGAAUUAGCAUUGUUCAUUAUUCAUUUUAAAUUAAGAAAUGGAAUAGGAUUGAAGCAAAAAAAAAAUACUCUGAAAUGAAUCAAAAAUUAAAAUAGGGUUGAAGAUAGUUAAAAUUACUUAUUCUUCUUAGCCAUUUUAAUCGUAUCAGCCAUCUUAGCUCAUUGAUAUGAAUUACUAUUUAACAAAAAAAUCAUGUUUUUUAUUUUUUACAACACAAUAAAAACAUGUUAAAAACCAUUUCCAAACAAUUUUUUUUCACUUUCACAUCACAAAGCACAAAUGUGGUAAACUAUUGAAAUAAGAAAAUCACAUUGAACCGAAUCAAACUUUCGAACAAUAUUUCUAAUGAAAAAAUACAAAAUAAGAUCAACAGGAACAUAAAAAUCUAAAUUGUAAAAUAAGUUUAGUACAUAAUCCGCGUGUAGUGCGGAAAAAAACUCUAGUACUUCUAAAGACUCCAAGAAAGAGUCCACCAUCGUGGAUGCUCUAAUUUCCCUUUGUUGUUUAAUUUUGGCAAUUUCUCGGUAGCCCAAAUCGUAGCCCAAUUAAUCUUUCACCCCUAACCCCAAACCAAGUUGCAUUGCCUUCAUCAUUUUCCUCCAAAUAGGAUCGCAGCUACGGUUACCAACUCUUCAGAUUCGCUCUCUUUCCCACCACCUUCAGUCAUAAAGCAUCAACCCACCGGAUGAAACUUACUCGAUUCCCCCAGCUUGAUACCCUAUAGAUAUAUCUCUAUGUUAUCACGGUUUUCAACUUCAACAAAACAAAUAAUCACAAGCGUCAAUGGCAGAGAUAACCGCGAAAUCAAAAUGCAGAGCCCUCACCUCUUUGUUCUUCAACGACAGCUCCGGGUUUGGGAGAUUUAGAGUUGCGAUUCCGCUUAAACCACUUCUGGAAGCACGAAACGCAGCGGAUGGUGGAUUCCUUAUUGGUCUUGAGCUUCGUCUCAUCGAUGAACAGGUUAUGCAAAGAAGUUAGAUGGAGUUAUCCAAACAAAGAGAGCACUCUGCAAAGAUUUAACUGGUCAAUCAGACCAUUCGAGCCCGUGCUGCUUCUAAAACAGACCAAAAUUGGUUGGAACUGCUAUUCCUUCUGUGGAGUGAGCACAAGAAAAUACUGAGGAAUUGUAUAAGGUUUUUUCUAUGAGUUAUGCUAUGGGCAAGAGCUGCAUAGGUCAAGAUUGCUCGCUGUUGCUGAUAUAUAUGCUCCUGUUAAAUUCCAAUAAUUUAUGCAUUUUAUUACAUUGGCGACAACUAUUUCAAGACUAAAGCAGAGCCACAAUUACAAUAUGCACCAACGAAGACUUUGGCAGGACAUAUAGAGCAAUACAAAGAGCAAGAUUUCUUGGAAUGAAAGGAAGCCAAGAGAAAAGAAGUGAGUCACAAAAAAAGAUUGAAGAGCGGUAUGUAAUGCUGAGUAAGAGCUAGAAAGGUAACAACACACAAGGAAGUCGAAGAAAGCACACGAAGAUGCUACAAAACUGCAGGAACUAAUGGACCAGGGAUUUGAGACGCAUACGAUGGAGCACAGGCAAAAAAAAAUGAAGAUCCUAAGGAGGAGAAGAGGACGAAUGUGAAGUAGAGGAUAUCAAUGGUGGGGAGGAUGAGAUCAUGAUGGAUGAUUUGCUGGAAGAGGGAAGAGAUGGAAACGACAAGGGAAUGUGCACUGAUACUACAAAAGCAGAAACAGUGGAAACAUUAAACAUUACGUCCUCUCCAAAUUUAAGCAAAACAAAAAAAAACAUUACGUCCUCCAAGUUUGCGAGUAAUAUAAACCAAAAAUCCUCACUUGCACAAAUUCAGUCAGAAGAAGAAAUAAAAAUUUUCAAAAUUUUAUUCGAUGUCGUUAUAAUUUAUAAUAAUGAUCAAACUCUUAUAAUUUUUUUAUUGAUUUCCAUGAAAUCAAUAAACAAGUUCCUCAAUGGUCAUACAAAUUAACAAGUGAAUUAGAAGAAUUAGAAACCGAAACUGAAGAAAAUAUACCAACCGAAUCAGGAAUUCGUUCAAGAAAAGCAAAACGUGUAGUGAUUUUUACUGAUUUAAAAGAACCGCAUAACGAGAUUUAUACUAAUCUCAAAGAUAAUCAAAAUUCUGAUCAAACAGAUGAAAUGGCUUUGAUCCGUUAUUCACAACAAUCUGAUUUUCGUCGAGAGAUAAUUAAAGGAUCCAUGCGUUCCCAAAGGCGUAAAAUUGUUAUUUGGAAAUUUUUGCAAGCAAAAGCACAUUCGCCCCUUUUUUUUU
Molecule: long non-coding RNA, 5641 nt
Organism: Brassica napus (rape)
Lineage: Eukaryota; Viridiplantae; Streptophyta; Magnoliopsida; Brassicales; Brassicaceae
Exons: 4
Source: RefSeq, a predicted model, not a curated record